Molecule: non-coding RNA, 99 nt
Organism: Podarcis lilfordi (Lilford's wall lizard)
Lineage: Eukaryota; Metazoa; Chordata; Lepidosauria; Squamata; Lacertidae
Source: the annotation of a GenBank genome assembly
CUUCCAGUAGCACCUUAGAGACCAACUAAGUUUGUUAUGGGUAUGAGCUUUUGUGUGCAUGCACACAAACUUAUUUGGUCUCUAAGGUGCUACUGGAAG